Molecule: unclassified non-coding RNA, 199 nt
Filed under: uncultured fungus
Lineage: Eukaryota; Fungi
Description: sequence contains ITS1
Source: RNAcentral
UUAACUAUUAUAUAGUACUCAGACGACACUAACAUUCAGAGUCUGUGGGGCCUCUGGCGGGCACGCACCAGCUAGGCUGGCGGCCAGGCAGGGCCUGGCGGCCCGCCAAAGCAACGAUCGUAGUAAUAACAGUGGGUGGGAGAUCUACCCAAAGGGCACGAACUCUGUAAUGAUCCCUCCGCAGGUUCACCUACGGAGA